RNAcentral lists this ribosomal RNA (830 nucleotides) under uncultured Alphaproteobacteria bacterium. RNAcentral's name for it is "bacterial SSU rRNA". It matches the Rfam family "Bacterial small subunit ribosomal RNA", at positions 369 to 1217 of the family's 1533-position model. The record is from RNAcentral. Lineage: Bacteria; Pseudomonadati; Pseudomonadota; Alphaproteobacteria.
CAAUGGAGGAAACUCUGAUGCAGCGAUGCCGCGUGAGUGAAGAAGGCCCUUGGGUUGUAAAGCUCUUUCGUCGGGGAAGAAAAUGACUGUACCCGAAUAAGAAGGUCCGGCUAACUUCGUGCCAGCAGCCGCGGUAAUACGAAGGGACCUAGCGUAGUUCGGAAUUACUGGGCUUAAAGAGUUCGUAGGUGGUUGAAAAAGUUGGUGGUGAAAUCCCAGAGCUUAACUCUGGAACUGCCAUCAAAACUUUUCAGCUAGAGUUUGAUAGAGGAAAGCAGAAUUUCUAGUGUAGAGGUGAAAUUCGUAGAUAUUAGAAAGAAUACCAAUUGCGAAGGCAGCUUUCUGGAUCAUUACUGACACUGAGGAACGAAAGCAUGGGUAGCGAAGAGGAUUAGAUACCCUCGUAGUCCAUGCCGUAAACGAUGUGUGUUAGACGUUGGAAAUUUAUUUUCAGUGUCGCAGCGAAAGCAAUAAACACACCGCCUGGGGAGUACGACCGCAAGGUUAAAACUCAAAUGAAUUGACGGGGACCCGCACAAGUAGUGGAGCAUGUGGUUUAAUUCGAAGAUACGCGCAGAACCUUACCAACACUUGACAUGUUCGUCGCGACUUUAAGAGAUUAAAGUUUUCGGUUCGGCCGGACGAAACACAGGUGCUGCAUGGCUGUCGUCAGCUCGUGUCGUGAGAUGUUGGGUUAAGUCCCGCAACGAGCGCAACCCUCACUUUUAGUUGCCAUCAUUUAGUUGGGCACUCUGAAAGAACUGCCAGUGAUAAGCUGGAGGAAGGUGGGGAUGACGUCAAGUCCUCAUGGCCCUUACGUGUUGGGCUAC